RNAcentral lists this non-coding RNA (30 nucleotides) under Homo sapiens (human). The record is from RNAcentral. Lineage: Eukaryota; Metazoa; Chordata; Mammalia; Primates; Hominidae.
UGACCAGACCCCUGAGCGGUGGUGUUCAGA